This 340-nucleotide ribosomal RNA is filed under the name Kaupus costatus. Its description in RNAcentral is "partial 12S ribosomal RNA". Lineage: Eukaryota; Metazoa; Chordata; Actinopteri; Syngnathiformes; Syngnathidae. The record is from RNAcentral.
UAAUAUAAUUUUACCAUUAUUCGCCAAGGUACUAAAAGCGCAAGCUUAAAACCUAGGGGACUUGGCGGUGCUUUAUAACCAUCUAGAGGAGCCUGUUCUAUAACCGAUAACCCCCGUUAAACCUCACCUUUUUUAACCUUUACCGCCUAUAUACCACCGUCGUCAGCUUACCCUGUGAAGGAAUUAAGUAAGCAAAAAUAUUAUUACUCAAAACGUCAGGUCGAGGUGUAUUUUAUGAGAAAGGAAGAAAUGGGCUACAUUCAUCAAAAGAUGUAUACGAAUAGUUAUUUGAAAAAAUAACCUAGAGGUGGAUUUAGUAAUAAAAAAAAAUAUAUUGUUC